UUGAAAGGGAAACGAUUGAAGUCAGUCGUACCUGCGGGUAAUCAGCCUUUUGGGCAUGAUUCUGUGGAGCGUGAGGAGUUAAACGCCUUCAUGCCUGCAUAUUCGUGUACUUUGGGUGUACUUGCCUGUGUGGUUAGUUAACAUCAAUUUCGGUUAUCAUAAAAUGGCUGGAGGAAUGUAGCUUCGAUUUCGAUUGAAGUGUUGUAGCCUUCGGCAGAUGUGAUGAUCGGGAUUGAGGAUUGCAACGGAUACCCUUCGGGGCUACCUGUCUGGUCUCUGAUCGUUGCUCUGGUGCCGAAAGCGUGCUUACGGUUAUCAAAGUCGAUGGUCAAUAGGUUAGAACGGGUUAAAUUCGUUAAGGAUGUUGACGUA
RNAcentral lists this ribosomal RNA (372 nucleotides) under uncultured Glomeromycotina. Its description in RNAcentral is "eukaryotic LSU rRNA". Lineage: Eukaryota; Fungi; Glomeromycota. The record is from RNAcentral.